This 655-nucleotide ribosomal RNA is filed under the name Vibrio harveyi. RNAcentral's name for it is "bacterial SSU rRNA". It matches the Rfam family "Bacterial small subunit ribosomal RNA", at positions 79 to 730 of the family's 1533-position model. Lineage: Bacteria; Pseudomonadati; Pseudomonadota; Gammaproteobacteria; Vibrionales; Vibrionaceae. The record is from RNAcentral.
ACGAUAACGGCGUCGAGCGGCGGACGGGUGAGUAAUGCCUAGGAAAUUGCCCUGAUGUGGGGGAUAACCAUUGGAAACGAUGGCUAAUACCGCAUAAUGCCUACGGGCCAAAGAGGGGGACCUUCGGGCCUCUCGCGUCAGGAUAUGCCUAGGUGGGAUUAGCUAGUUGGUGAGGUAAUGGCUCACCAAGGCGACGAUCCCUAGCUGGUCUGAGAGGAUGAUCAGCCACACUGGAACUGAGACACGGUCCAGACUCCUACGGGAGGCAGCAGUGGGGAAUAUUGCACAAUGGGCGCAAGCCUGAUGCAGCCAUGCCGCGUGUGUGAAGAAGGCCUUCGGGUUGUAAAGCACUUUCAGUCGUGAGGAAGGUGGUAGUGUUAAUAGCACUAUCAUUUGACGUUAGCGACAGAAGAAGCACCGGCUAACUCCGUGCCAGCAGCCGCGGUAAUACGGAGGGUGCGAGCGUUAAUCGGAAUUACUGGGCGUAAAGCGCAUGCAGGUGGUUUGUUAAGUCAGAUGUGAAAGCCCGGGGCUCAACCUCGGAAUAGCAUUUGAAACUGGCAGACUAGAGUACUGUAGAGGGGGGUAGAAUUUCAGGUGUAGCGGUGAAAUGCGUAGAGAUCUGAAGGAAUACCGGUGGCGAAGGCGGCCCCCU